This 461-nucleotide ribosomal RNA is filed under the name uncultured Methylomirabilota bacterium. RNAcentral describes it as "bacterial SSU rRNA". It matches the Rfam family "Bacterial small subunit ribosomal RNA", at positions 977 to 1435 of the family's 1533-position model. The record is from RNAcentral. Lineage: Bacteria; Methylomirabilota (SeqCode).
GGGCUUGACAUCCCACGAACCUGCCAGAGAUGGCUUGGUGCUCGAAAGAGAACCUGGACACGGGUGCUGCAUGGCUGUCGUCAGCUCGUGUCGUGAGAUGUUGGGUUAAGUCCCGCAACGAGCGCAACCCUUGUCUUCUGUUGCCAUCGGGUCAAGCCGGGCACUCUGAAGAGACUGCCGGUGACAAACCGGAGGAAGGUGGGGAUGACGUCAAGUCAGCAUGGCCUUUAUGUCUGGGGCCACACACGUGCUACAAUGGCCGGUACAAACCGUCGCAAACUCGCGAGGGUGAGCUAAUCGGAUAAAGCCGGUCUCAGUUCGGAUUGUAGGCUGCAACUCGCCUGCAUGAAGUUGGAAUCGCUAGUAAUCGCGGAUCAGCACGCCGCGGUGAAUACGUCCCCGGGCCUUGUACACACCGCCCGUCACAUCACGAAAGCCGGCUGUACUCGAAGUCGCUGAGA